ACCUAUUCCAGAGGCUAGUUUUUAUUUUUUUUUUUUUUUCAAGCAGAAGACGGCAUACGAGAUCAGCCUCGGUCUCGUGGGCUCGGAGAUGUGUAUAAGAGACAGAUUUCACACUGUCAAGAAAAGUCUCUAUCGAGGUUAAAGGUACCCGUACCGCAAACCGACACAGGUGGGUGAGGAGAGUAUCCUAAGGCCAGCGAGAGAACUGUUGUUAAGGAACUCGGCAAAAUGACCCCGUAACUUAGGGAUAAGGGGUGCCACCAUCAGGUGGCCGCAGAGAAUAGGCCCAAGCGACUGUUUACCAAAAACAUAGGUUUCUGCUAAGUCGCAAGACGAUGUAUAGGAGCUGACGCCUGCCCGGUGCUGGAAGGUUAAGGGGAUCUGUUAGAGCAAUCGAAGCAGUGAACUUAAGCCCCAGUAAACGGCGGCCGUAACUAUAACGGUCCUAAGGUAGCGAAAUUCCUUGUCGGGUAAGUUCCGACCCGCACGAAAGGCGUAACGAUUUGGGCACUGUCUCAACAACAGACUCGGUGAAAUUGUAAUUCCGGUGAAGAUGCCGGAUACCUGCGACAGGACGGAAAGACCCCAUGGAGCUUUACUGUAGCUUGACAUUGGGUCUUGGUACUACAUGUACAGGAUAGGUGGGAGGCUUUGAAACCAGGACGCCAGUUUUGGCGGAGCCAUCCUUGGGAUACCACCCUUGUAGUACUGGGACUCUAACCAUAGGCCAUGAAUCUGGUCUUGGGACACUGUCAGGUGGGCAGUUUGACUGGGGCGGUCGCCUCCCAAAAGGUAACGGAGGCGCUCAAAGGUUCUCUCAGUACGGUCGGAAAUCGUACGUAGAGUGUAAAGGCAAAAGAGAGCUUGAUUGCAAGACAUACAGGUCGAGCAAGGAUGAAAAUCGGACUUAGUGAUCCGGUGGUUCUGCGUGGAAGGGCCAUCGCUCAACGGAUAAAAGCUACCCUGGGGAUAACAGGCUUAUCUCCCCCAAGAGUCCACAUCGACGGGGAGGUUUGGCACCUCGAUGUCGGCUCAUCACAUCCUGGGGCUGUAGUAGGUCCCAAGGGUUGGGCUGUUCGCCCAUUAAAGUGGUACGCGAGCUGGGUUCAGAACGUCGUGAGACAGUUCGGUCCCUAUCCGUCGCAGGCGUAGGAAAUUUGAGAAGACCUGUCCUUAGUACGAGAGGACCGGGAUGGACGUACCUCUGGUGUACCAGUUG
This 1219-nucleotide ribosomal RNA is filed under the name Clostridioides difficile. Its description in RNAcentral is "bacterial LSU rRNA". It matches the Rfam family "Bacterial large subunit ribosomal RNA", at positions 1506 to 2723 of the family's 2925-position model. Lineage: Bacteria; Bacillati; Bacillota; Clostridia; Peptostreptococcales; Peptostreptococcaceae. The record is from RNAcentral.